Molecule: ribosomal RNA, 558 nt
Filed under: Enterococcus faecium
Lineage: Bacteria; Bacillati; Bacillota; Bacilli; Lactobacillales; Enterococcaceae
Description: bacterial SSU rRNA
Rfam family: Bacterial small subunit ribosomal RNA
Source: RNAcentral
UGUAGUCCACGCCGUAAACGAUGAGUGCUAAAGUGUUGGAGGGUUUUCCGCCCUUUCAGUGCUGCAGCUAACGCAUUAAGCACUCCGCCUGGGGAGUACGACCGCAAGGUUGAAACUCAAAGGAAUUGACGGGGGCCCGCACAAGCGGUGGAGCAUGUGGUUUAAUUCGAAGCAACGCGAAGAACCUUACCAGGUCUUGACAUCCUUUGACCACUCUAGAGAUAGAGCUUCCCCUUUCGGGGGCAAAGUGACAGGUGGUGCAUGGUUGUCGUCAGCUCGUGUCGUGAGAUGUUGGGUUAAGUCCCGCAACGAGCGCAACCCUUAUUGUUAGUUGCCAUCAUUCAGUUGGGCACUCUAGCAAGACUGCCGGUGACAAACCGGAGGAAGGUGGGGAUGACGUCAAAUCAUCAUGCCCCUUAUGACCUGGGCUACACACGUGCUACAAUGGGAAGUACAACGAGUUGCGAAGUCGCGAGGCUAAGCUAAUCUCUUAAAGCUUCUCUCAGUUCGGAUUGCAGGCUGCAACUCGCCUGCAUGAAGCCGGAAUCGCUAGAAUCG